AUAACUAACUAGGAUUCCCUUAGUAACGGCGAGUGAACCGGGAUGAGCUCAAAUUUGAAAUCUGGCGUCUUUCAGGCGUCCGAGUUGUAAUCUAUAGAGGCGUUUUCCGCGCCGGACCGCGUCCAAGUCUCUUGGAAUAGAGUAUCAAAGAGGGUGACAAUCCCGUACUUGACGCGACAACCGGUGCUCUGUGAUACGUUCUCAAUGAGUCGAGUUGUUUGGGAAUGCAGCUCUAAAUGGGUGGUAAAUUCCAUCUAAGGCUAAAUAUUGGCGAGAGACCGAUAGCGAACAAGUACCGUGAGGGAAAGAUGAAAAGCACUUUGGAAAGAGAGUUAAACAGCACGUGAAAUUGUUAAAAGGGAAACGAUUGAAGUCAGUCGUGUGGGAAGUAUUCAGCCGUCUCUGGCGGUGUAUUUGCUUCUCACGGGUCAACAUCAGUUUGAUCCGGUAGAAAAAGGCGGGAAGAAGGUGGCACCCUCGGGUGUGUUAUAGCUUCCUGUCAUAUGUGCCGGACCAGACUGAGGAACGCAGCUUGCAGCAAUGCCGGGGUUCGCCCACGUACAAGCUUAGGAUGUUGACAUAAUGGCUUUAAACGAC
This 597-nucleotide ribosomal RNA is filed under the name Trimorphomyces sp. CBS 200.94. RNAcentral's name for it is "eukaryotic LSU rRNA". It matches the Rfam family "Eukaryotic large subunit ribosomal RNA", at positions 56 to 648 of the family's 3401-position model. The record is from RNAcentral. Lineage: Eukaryota; Fungi; Basidiomycota; Tremellomycetes; Tremellales; Trimorphomycetaceae.